UUGGAAUUCCAGGAUUGGAUCAUGGUUCAGAACGAACGCUGGCGGCAAGCCUAACACAUGCAAGUCGAACGGACAAUUAUUUAUAGCUUUUGGCUAUAGGCAAUUGUUAGUGGCAGACGGGUGAGUAAUGCGUAGGAAUCUACCUAGUAGUACGGAAUAGCCAUUAGAAAUGAUGGGUAAUACUGUAUAAUCCCCGCGGGGGAAAGAUUUAUCGCUAUUAGAUGAGCCUACGUUAGAUUAGCUAGUUGGUAAGGUAAUGGCUUACCAAGGCUAUGAUCUAUAGCUGGUCUGAGAGGACGAUCAGCCACACUGGAACUGAGAUACGGUCCAGACUCCUACGGGAGGCAGCAGUGGGGAAUAUUGGACAAUGGGCGAAAGCCUGAUCCAGCUAUGCCGCGUGAGUGAAGAAGGCCUUCGGGUUGUAAAACUCUUUCAAUAGGGAAGAUAAUGACGGUACCUAU
Molecule: ribosomal RNA, 461 nt
Filed under: Ehrlichia minasensis
Lineage: Bacteria; Pseudomonadati; Pseudomonadota; Alphaproteobacteria; Rickettsiales; Anaplasmataceae
Description: bacterial SSU rRNA
Rfam family: Bacterial small subunit ribosomal RNA
Source: RNAcentral